GCCGGAAUGCCCGAGUGGCCCAAGGGCUCCGCCUGCAAAGCGGCUGUGCGCCGGUUCGAAUCCGGCUUCCGGUU
This 74-nucleotide transfer RNA is filed under the name Cryptosporangium arvum DSM 44712. It matches the Rfam family "tRNA". From Rfam's summary of the family: Transfer RNA (tRNA) molecules are approximately 80 nucleotides in length. Their secondary structure includes four short double-helical elements and three loops (D, anti-codon, and T loops). Lineage: Bacteria; Bacillati; Actinomycetota; Actinomycetes; Cryptosporangiales; Cryptosporangiaceae. The record is from Rfam by way of RNAcentral.